Molecule: transfer RNA, 73 nt
Filed under: Fibrobacterota bacterium
Lineage: Bacteria; Pseudomonadati; Fibrobacterota
Description: Fibrobacteres bacterium (bioreactor metagenome) tRNA-Thr
Rfam family: tRNA
About the family: Transfer RNA (tRNA) molecules are approximately 80 nucleotides in length.
Source: RNAcentral
GCCCAGGUGGCUCAGUUGGUAGAGCACGUCCUUGGUAAGGACGAGGUCGCGGGUUCGAGUCCCGUCUUGGGCU